CCUANGGGAGGCAGCAGUCGAGAAUUUUUCACAAUGGGCGAAAGCCUGAUGGAGCGACGCCGCGUGGGGGAUGAAUGGCUUCGGCCCGUAAACCCCUGUCAUUCGCGAUCAAACGUUAUUAUUUAAAAGAUGAUGACCUGAUAGUAGCGGAAGAGGAAGGGACGGCUAACUCUGUGCCAGCAGCCGCGGUAAUACAGAGGUCCCGAGCGUUGUUCGGAUUCACUGGGCGUAAAGGGUGCGUAGGUGGUGAGGUAAGUCGGAUGUGAAAUCUCGGAGCUCAACUCCGAAAAGGCAUUGGAAACUACCUUGCUGGAGGGUUGGAGGGGGGACUGGAAUGCUUGGUGUAGCAGUGAAAUGCGUAGAUAUCAAGCGGAACACCAGUGGCGAAGGCGAGUCCCUGGACAACACCUGACACUGAGGCACGAAAGCUAGGGGAGCAAACAGGAUUAGAUACCCCANUANUC
Molecule: ribosomal RNA, 464 nt
Filed under: uncultured bacterium
Lineage: Bacteria
Description: bacterial SSU rRNA
Rfam family: Bacterial small subunit ribosomal RNA
Source: RNAcentral